This 492-nucleotide ribosomal RNA is filed under the name uncultured bacterium. Its description in RNAcentral is "partial 16S ribosomal RNA". It matches the Rfam family "Bacterial small subunit ribosomal RNA", at positions 29 to 507 of the family's 1533-position model. The record is from RNAcentral.
AGUGAACGCUGGCGGUAGGCCUAACACAUGCAAGUCGAACGGCAGCACAGUAAGAGCUUGCUCUUACGGGUGGCGAGUGGCGGACGGGUGAGGAAUACAUCGGAAUCUACUUUUUUGUGGGGGAUAACGUAGGGAAACUUACGCUAAUACCGCAUACGACCUACGGGUGAAAGCAGGGGAUCUUCGGACCUUGCGCGAUUGAAUGAGCCGAUGUCGGAUUAGCUAGAUGGCGGGGUAAAGGCCCACCAAGGCGACGAUCCGUAGCUGGUCUGAGAGGAUGAUCAGCCACACUGGAACUGAGACACGGUCCAGACUCCUACGGGAGGCAGCAGUGGGGAAUAUUGGACAAUGGGCGCAAGCCUGAUCCAGCCAUACCGCGUGGGUGAAGAAGGCCUUCGGGUUGUAAAGCCCUUUUGUUGGGAAAGAAAAGCAGCAGGUUAAUACCCCGCUGUUCUGACGGUACCCAAAGAAUAAGCACCGGCUAACUUCGUG